This 429-nucleotide ribosomal RNA is filed under the name Actinomycetes bacterium. Its description in RNAcentral is "Actinobacteria bacterium partial 16S ribosomal RNA". It matches the Rfam family "Bacterial small subunit ribosomal RNA", at positions 355 to 776 of the family's 1533-position model. Lineage: Bacteria; Bacillati; Actinomycetota; Actinomycetes. The record is from RNAcentral.
UAGGGAAUCUUCCGCAAUGGGCGAAAGCCUGACGGAGCAACGCCGCGUGAGUGAUGAAGGUCUUCGGAUCGUAAAACUCUGUUAUUAGGGAAGAACAAAUGUGUAAGUAACUAUGCACGUCUUGACGGUACCUAAUCAGAAAGCCACGGCUAACUACGUGCCAGCAGCCGCGGUAAUACGUAGGUGGCAAGCGUUAUCCGGAAUUAUUGGGCGUAAAGCGCGCGUAGGCGGUUUUUUAAGUCUGAUGUGAAAGCCCACGGCUCAACCGUGGAGGGUCAUUGGAAACUGGAAAACUUGAGUGCAGAAGAGGAAAGUGGAAUUCCGUGUGUAGCGGUGAAAUGCGGAGAGAUAUGGAGGAACACCAGUGGAGAAGGCGACUUUCUGGUCUGUAACUGACGCUGAUGUGCGAAAGCGGGGGGAUCAAACAGG